AACGAUCCGGAGCAAUCGGAUAGUGGCGAACGGCGGAGUAAUACAUAAGCAACGUGCCCCAAAGACUGGGAUAGUCGACCGAAAGGACGGGUAAUACCGGAUGUGGCCCCUCUAAGACAUCUUGGAGGGAUUAAAUGGUUUUUCGCUUUGGGAGCGGCUUAUGGCCUAUCAGGUAGUUGGUGAGGUAACGGCUCACCAAGCCGACGACGGGUAGCGGGUCUGAGAGGACGAUCCGCUCGAGUGGGACUGAGACACGGCCCACACACCUACGGGUGGCAGCAGUUGGGAAUCUUGCACAAUGGGGGAAACCCUGAUGCAGCGACGCCGCGUGGAGGAUGAAGGAUCUAGGUCUGUAAACUCCUUUUGUUGGGAAAGACUUAGGACGGUACCCAACGAAUAAGCACCGGCUAACUACGUGCCAGCAGCCGCGGUAAGACGUAGGGUGCAAGCGUUGUCCGGAUUUACUGGGCGUAAAGAGCGCGUAGGCGGCUUGUUAAGUGUGAAGCUAAAUCUCCAGGCUCAACUUGGAAACUAUUUCGCAUACUGGCGAGCUAGAGGAAUGCGGAGGUUAGUGGAAUUCCUGGUGUAGCGGUG
Molecule: ribosomal RNA, 594 nt
Filed under: uncultured bacterium
Lineage: Bacteria
Description: bacterial SSU rRNA
Rfam family: Bacterial small subunit ribosomal RNA
Source: RNAcentral